This 495-nucleotide ribosomal RNA is filed under the name uncultured bacterium. RNAcentral's name for it is "partial 16S ribosomal RNA". It matches the Rfam family "Bacterial small subunit ribosomal RNA", at positions 28 to 507 of the family's 1533-position model. The record is from RNAcentral.
GACGAACGCUGGCGGCGUGCCUAAUACAUGCAAGUAGAACGCUGAAGGAGGAGCUUGCUUCUCCGGAUGAGUUGCGAACGGGUGAGUAACGCGUAGGUAACCUGCCUGGUAGCGGGGGAUAACUAUUGGAAACGAUAGCUAAUACCGCAUAACAGUAGAUAUUGCAUGAUAUCUGCUUGAAAGGUGCAAUUGCAUCACUACCAGAUGGACCUGCGUUGUAUUAGCUAGUUGGUGAGGUAACGGCUCACCAAGGCGACGAUACAUAGCCGACCUGAGAGGGUGAUCGGCCACACUGGGACUGAGACACGGCCCAGACUCCUACGGGAGGCAGCAGUAGGGAAUCUUCGGCAAUGGACGGAAGUCUGACCGAGCAACGCCGCGUGAGUGAAGAAGGUUUUCGGAUCGUAAAGCUCAGUUGUAAGAGAAGAACGAGUGUGAGAGUGGAAAGUUCACACUGUGACGGUAUCUUACCAGAAAGGGACGGCUAACUACGUG